Molecule: small nuclear RNA, 107 nt
Organism: Echinops telfairi (small Madagascar hedgehog)
Lineage: Eukaryota; Metazoa; Chordata; Mammalia; Afrosoricida; Tenrecidae
Source: RefSeq, a predicted model, not a curated record
GUGCUCGCUUUGGCAGCACAUAUACUAAAAUUGGACCGACACAGAGAUUGUUAGCAUGGCUCCUGUGCAAGGAUGACAUGCAAAUUCGUGAAGUGUUCCAUAUUUAA